AUACGGAGGGAGCGAGCGUUAAUCGGAAUUACUGGGCGUAAAGCGCUCGUAGGCGGCUUGUUAAGUCGGAUGUGAAAUCCCCGGGCUCAACCUGGGAACUGCAUUCGAUACUGGCAAGCUAGAGUAUAGUAGAGGCAAGUGGAAUUCCGGGUGUAGCGGUGAAAUGCGUAGAUAUCAGGAGGAACACCGUUGGCGAAGGCGGCCACCUGGAUUAGUACUGACGCUGAGGCGCGAAAGCGUGGGGAGCGAACAGGAUUAGAAACCCCGGUAGUCC
RNAcentral lists this ribosomal RNA (274 nucleotides) under uncultured bacterium. Its description in RNAcentral is "partial 16S ribosomal RNA". It matches the Rfam family "Bacterial small subunit ribosomal RNA", at positions 523 to 796 of the family's 1533-position model. The record is from RNAcentral.